UGGAUCCAGACUUUGAUCAUGGCUCAGGAUGAACGCUAGCUACAGGCUUAACACAUGCAAGUCGAGGGGCAGCAUGACAAUAGCUUGCUAUUGUUGAUGGCGACCGGCGCACGGGUGAGUAACGCGUAUCCAACCUGCCCUUAUCCAUCGGAUAACCCGACGAAAGGCGGCCUAACACGAUAUGCAGUCCACAGAAGGCAUCUGACGCGGACAAAAUGUGAAGGAGAAGGAUGGGGAUGCGUCUGAUUAGCUUGUUGGCGGGGUAACGGCCCACCAAGGCGACGAUCAGUAGGGGUUCUGAGAGGAAGGUCCCCCACAUUGGAACUGAGACACGGUCCAAACUCCUACGGGAGGCAGCAGUGAGGAAUAUUGGUCAAUGGGCGAGAGCCUGAGCCAGCCAAGUAGCGUGCAGGAUGACGGCCCUAUGGGUUGUAAACUGCUUUUAUGCGGGGAUAAAGUGAGUCACGUGUGGCUUAUUGCAGGUACCGCAUGAAUAAGGACCGGCUAAUUCCGUGCCAGCAGCCGCGGUAAUACGGAAGGUCCGGGCGUUAUCCGGAUUUAUUGGGUUUAAAGGGAGCGUAGGCCGUCUGAUAAGCGUGUUGUGAAAUGUCGGGGCUCAACCUGGGCAUUGCAGCGCGAACUGUGAGACUUGAGUGCGCGGGAAGUAGGCGGAAUUCGUCGUGUAGCGGUGAAAUGCUUAGAUAUGACGAAGAACUCCGAUUGCGAAGGCAGCCUGCUGUAGCGCAACUGACGCUGAAGCUCGAAAGCGUGGGUAUCGAACAGGAUUAGAUACCCUGGUAGUCCACGCGGUAAACGAUGGAUGCUCGCUGUUUGCGUCUGACGUAAGCGGCCAAGCGAAAGCGUUAAGCAUCCCACCUGGGGAGUACGCCGGCAACGGUGCAACUCAAAUGAAUUGACGGA
This 921-nucleotide ribosomal RNA is filed under the name uncultured organism. RNAcentral's name for it is "bacterial SSU rRNA". It matches the Rfam family "Bacterial small subunit ribosomal RNA", at positions 1 to 917 of the family's 1533-position model. The record is from RNAcentral.